GGGUAGCUCAGUUGGUUAGAACUCGGUGCUGAUAAUGCCAAGGUUGCAGGUUUGAUCCCUGUAUGGGACA
This is a non-coding RNA of Podarcis lilfordi (Lilford's wall lizard), 70 nucleotides long. NCBI's taxonomy places the organism in Eukaryota, Metazoa, Chordata, Lepidosauria, Squamata, Lacertidae. The record is from the annotation of a GenBank genome assembly.